AUAUCAAUAAGCGGAGGAAAAGAAACUAACAAGGAUUCCCCUAGUAACUGCGAGUGAAGCGGGAAAAGCUCAAAUUUAAAAUCUGGCAGAUGCUUGUCUGUCCGAGUUGUAACCUAGAGAAGUGUAACCUGUGCUGGACCAUGUACAAGUCUCCUGGAAUGGAGCAUCAUAGAGGGUGAGAAUCCCGUCUUUGACAUGGACUACCAGUGCACUGUGGUUGUGCACUCGACGAGUCGAGUUGUUUGGGAAUGCAGCUCAAAAUGGGUGGUGAACUCCAUCUAAAGCUAAAUAUUGGCGAGAGACCGAUAGCGAACAAGUACCGUGAGGGAAAGAUGAAAAGCACUUUGGAAAGAGAGUGAAACAGUACGUGAAAUUGUUGAAAGGGAAACGCUUGAAGUCAGUCGCGUCGACCGAGACUCAGCCUUGCCUCGGCUUGGUGUACUUCUCGGCUGACGGGUCAGCAUCAAUUUCGCCCCUUGGAUAAUGGCGAGGGAAAUGUGACACCUUUGCGGUGUGUUAUAGUCUCUCGUCGCAUGCAAGGGUUGGGAUUGAGGAACUCAGCACGCGCCUUUGGGUGUCGGGGCUUUGCCCACGAUACGUGCUUAGGAUGUUGGCGUAAUGGCUUUAAACGA
Molecule: ribosomal RNA, 632 nt
Filed under: uncultured fungus
Lineage: Eukaryota; Fungi
Description: eukaryotic LSU rRNA
Rfam family: Eukaryotic large subunit ribosomal RNA
Source: RNAcentral